Molecule: ribosomal RNA, 837 nt
Filed under: uncultured archaeon
Lineage: Archaea
Description: bacterial SSU rRNA
Rfam family: Archaeal small subunit ribosomal RNA
Source: RNAcentral
GGUUACUGCUAUCGGUGUUCGCCUAAGCCAUGCGAGUCAUAUGUUCGUAAGAACAUGGCGUACUGCUCAGUAACACGUGGAUAACCUGCCCUUGGGUCUGGCAUAACCCCGGGAAGCUGGGGAUAAUUCCGGAUAACGCACAUAUGCUGGAAUGCUUUAUGCGUAAAAUGGAUUCGUCUGCCCAAGGAUGGGUCUGCGGCCUAUCAGGUAGUAGUGGGUGUAAUUUACCUACUAGCCUACGACGGGUACGGGUUGUGAGAGCAAGAGCCCGGAGAUGAAUUCUGAGACAUGAAUCCAGGCCCUACGGGGCGCAGCAGGCGCGAAAACUUUACAAUGCGGGAAACCGUGAUAAGGGGACACCGAGUGCCAGCAUCCUAUGCUGGCUGUCCGGGUGUGUAAAAUACACCUGUUAGCAAGGGCCGGGCGAGACCGGUGCCAGCCGCCGCGGUAACACCGGCGGCCCGAGUGGUGAUCGUGAUUAUUGGGUCUAAAGGGUCCGUAGCCGGUUUGGUCAGUCCUCCGGGAAAUCUGACAGCUUAACUGUUAGGCUUUCGGAGGAUACUGCCAGACUUGGAACCGGGAGAGGUAAGAGGUACUACAGGGGUAGGAGUGAAAUCUUGUAAUCCCUGUGGGACCACCUGUGGCGAAGGCGUCUUACCAGAACGGGUUCGACGGUGAGGGACGAAAGCUGGGGGCACGAACCGGAUUAGAUACCCGGGUAGUCCCAGCCGUAAACGAUGCUCGCUAGGUGUCAGGCAUGGCGCGACCGUGUCUGGUGCCGCAGGGAAGCCGUGAAGCGAGCCACCUGGGAAGUACGGCCGCAAGGCUGAAACUUAA